RNAcentral lists this long non-coding RNA (272 nucleotides) under Malus domestica (apple). Its description in RNAcentral is "long non-coding RNA (MDOM_LNC007592)". Lineage: Eukaryota; Viridiplantae; Streptophyta; Magnoliopsida; Rosales; Rosaceae. The record is from RNAcentral.
GUAUUGGACUUGAUGAGCUGAACUCCCAGAUUAUGAAUCUGAUGGCAUUGGAUGAAUUGAUGGAUAAAACUGCGGAGCAGAUUGCUUUUGAAGGCAUUGCGUCUGCAAUCAUUCAAGGAAGGAACAAAGAAGGUGCUAGCUCGAGCGCUGCAAGAACAAUUGCUGCUGUUAAAACCAUGGCAAAUACAUUGAGCACAGGCAGGAAGGAGAGGAUUUCGACCGGGAUUUGGAAUGUGAACGAGAACCCUUUGACACUAGAGGAGAUUCUAGCC